CUGUUACCCCACUGCUUGCAGUGGAGCCUGCAGGAGGAGACUGGUGUCAGAGUCACCUCAUUGCCGGGUUUGCAGAAGAGAUUUGCAUAAAGAAUGUGUGAAAUCUCCUUGCAAGGUGGAAUCAUUCUGAGGUCCUCAGACUUGAAGGCAAGAAGGUAGACUAAUUUUGCCUCCCCCCCCCACCCCGUGACCUUUCAAGUUCUCCUCCAGCCUUUCCUUCCAUAAAAUGUAUAAUUGCCCUUUCUGGCAGUUCACAGAGAAGUGCUAUUCCCAGCCCUUCCAAGCUGCUCUGGAUGGAAAAUGCCCUUGGUUCUCAGAGACUUAACACCCGGCCCUGUGAACAUGAGCACGAUUAUUCUCUCCGAGCAGCUCUUUUCACAUGUGAUAAGCUUGGCAAGUUGCCCUGCAAGAUGCAGAGGAGAACUUACUCUCUUGAUGAUGGACAAGUGGCUGUAAUGGUUGAUAUACUGUGUCAACUUGAGAAGGUAAGAGGUUUCACUAAGUACUUCAUCAGGGGGCAGGGUCCUUAUUUUGUGACUUUCUCAGCCCUUGCAAGAGGAGGACAAGCACAUGCUGUGGGUGCUAUAGAUGCCUGAGGAGAGAAGCCUGCAUACAAUAAAAGGCAAAUGAGGAGAGACUGAUUAACUGAUUGCUGGUUCUUCAGAGGAGCUCUACCCUGCAGGUGGGCUGUUGUCUCCUGGCUUUUGGCACAGGCUGUUUGGUUUCUACCUGGGACUCUUCACCUUCUGGCGUAGACUCUUCAGCCUUCCAUCGUAGAUUCUUCGGCGUUUUGUCUCAGACCCAUCGACCUCCUGAUGCAGACUUGCACACAACACUGCAGUGAGCUCCAGAUUGUGGACUGAGCCCUUCAGCCUCCAGCAUGCGGACCCGCUCUGCACGCUUCCUCAUCCAACUCUGUGACUAUCAUAAGCCAAUCUUGAAAUUUCUUAUACAUUUGUAUAGCUUGAGUGAUAUCUGUUUCUCUAGUAAACCCUGACUGAUACCGUGGCUAGAGAGUCCCAGGUUUUCUAUCCACAGCUCAUCUCAUCAGAAGAGAAAACAUGCAGUGAAGUUCUAGAUGCUCUGUGAAAUAAGCAUGAAGCUACGUGAACCGCCCUACCACGAUCUAAUCCAUAACCACUGAAUUCCACGCCCAUCCCAGAUCCAGUCCUGUUGGACAUUUCAUCACAGCUGAACUUUGCCUGAGUGACCUGACUGGUCCAGUGUUAUAAGAAAAGGAUGGCAUUAGUCAGCACCUCUGAGUACUAACUUGAUACUUUCGCUGAGUACUAACUUGGUGUCUUUGCUUCUCCAGCUAAGGUAGGUAUUGUACUAUGUUAGUGUCCACUCAUGUUCAGAAACUCUAAACUUGGACUUAUCCAAGGCUAGAAUGUGGUCUAAUGGAAAAAAAGGGAGUGUAUUUUGU
RNAcentral lists this long non-coding RNA (1426 nucleotides) under Cavia porcellus (domestic guinea pig). RNAcentral's name for it is "lncRNA (ENSCPOG00000035831.1)". The record is from RNAcentral. Lineage: Eukaryota; Metazoa; Chordata; Mammalia; Rodentia; Caviidae.